This 4699-nucleotide long non-coding RNA is filed under the name Malus domestica (apple). Its description in RNAcentral is "long non-coding RNA (MDOM_LNC005499)". The record is from RNAcentral. Lineage: Eukaryota; Viridiplantae; Streptophyta; Magnoliopsida; Rosales; Rosaceae.
CUGACUUAUCGUUCACAGAACCAAACCAAAACAUUAUUCAUUUAAUAAAAUAAUUGAAGUCAUGGUUCUCAUGAUCCGAGUAAAUCAUAGUUUCAGUUGUAAAUAAUUCUAAAUAUAAUGUAUAAUGCGGUAAUAAAAGAUAUGCAAAAUUAAAAAAGGGUAAAUAUUACUUAUAGAAGAAAAACGAUGUGUGUAUCAAAAGAAAAGGGGAAUUAAAAUAUGAGAUAGAACUAAGUAAAAUGAUGGCCCAAAAAAAUAAAAACUAAGUAGAGUGAGGGUAUAGGAUUCGAUUUACUUUACGAACUUCAAAUGAUUCUAUUUGAACUUUGGAAUUUGAUUUCUGUAACACAAAAUUUCAGUUGCAUUUUCCUAACUUUAUGAUAUCUUUUCCUCAGAAAAAGCCACUGAACUUUGUGACUUUGUCAAGCCACCUUCAUUAUUUGUUCAUUCUCAAUUGAUUUUACCACUCAUAACGGAGACAAAGAACAUUCUCUCGUUUUAUUUCACCAUUGUCUCCCACAUCCACAGUAAAAAUACCUUCUAUUUCACCGUAUUUAAUUUUCUAGCAUUUUCUAGCAAUUGUCUGAACUUAGUCGAGCUAACUAGCUAGAACAAUAUAAAUGCUACCCUCUUUGUAUUCAAAUUUGAAUCUCGGCAUAGUUUAUGUUGAGAAUGAAUCCAUAUUGUUGGAAGAAUGAACAAUAAUUGCAUGGGCUUAUAAGUAAGUUGGAUUACUUUUCAUAUUGGUGAAGCUUGAGUUAAAUAAAUUUAAUGUAAAAUAUCACUUGUAUCAAAAUAAUGUAUUCUUUUUUGAGGGAAUUUUGAUCUUAUUGAGAUAGGAAAAGACAUACACGAGGGUAGCCAAAACAAACAUUGAGUGACCCCUAGAAUACAGCCAUUGCUGGGGCUUCCAACCCAGACUCGAGGAAAAAAAGAGCCACUAACAAUAUAAUAAGGCAGAAUUCAAACUGAGACUAAGCUAUCCUCUAAAAUUAAGUCUGCAACUUGGUCAGAUGGUUCCUCGAACCACGUCUUAUCCUGAAGAAGCCCAACCCCAGCUCGCUCCAAACUGUGUGCUACCUGGUUAGCCUUUCUUUGAACAUGGUUGAUUCUUAUGCUGGGGAAACCUUGGAGAAACAUUCCGAUUUAACUAGUUUUGUACAAACUUAUAGCUCUAGCCGUAGAAUAAUUAUCCCUCGUCAUAGCCAGAAUCCGACUCCUUUUCUUCCUAGUUCCCUUCCAAAUAAAGGGCAAAAUGAAAAUUAAUCUUUUCAUUAAUUAGGUCUUAGUCAGAUACAUUUUUGUUUCUUUUCUUUUUAGUAGUAUUAGUCAGAUACAUGUUAUAUACAUGUUGUGCAUAAUAAUUUAUAUAUAUAGAAAUGGGGAAUAUUAAAAGCUUGUCAUAUAGGAAUACAACUAUUAAGCAUGACAUAACCUGCUUCUUCUAGAACGAAUUCAAACAAAAGAGGACCAUUCAUACAAUUUGUGUGGGAUACCACUGCCCACUGGUAUGGCUUUGCAUGGAGUUGAAUUAUUGCAAUUUCCAGGUAUGGCGAAGUCACUUUGUCUCAAAAUUUGCCGUGCCAUUUUUUGUAAUUUAACCAUUUAUGGUAUUUGCAGUGGUUAAACAGCUACAUCCAUUCAUGGUAAUUAAAGCAAAGUUAGUAGGUGAAAACUUCAAGUUAGUGUAUGCAUCGUAAGAAAAUUCAAAUCGUAAUACAUGAUCUUAGGCACUAAUCUAAAAAUCUCCGCCUAGUGCCGCCUAGUGCCGCCUAGGAGAUAUGCGGCUGGCCACCGCUUCAAUAAAUGUCUAGGUGUUUGAAAAUUAAGAAAUGGCGCAUAGACCUGUUGAGGUGCCUGCCUAGACCGCCCAAACCCGCCUAGGUUGCGAUUCAUUUAGGCAUAAAAUAGAUAACUUUCAUUUUGCAUUUUAUAUUUUUUUUUCAAUAAAUUGUAAGAAACCUGUUGAAUACUUAAUGAGUACACAUUAUAUGCUUGUUCCCCAUGUUUCCAUUAUGUUCCAAUACUUCAUAAUAUAUGUGUCAUUCUAUUUUGUAGUUUAUGAUGAAAUUAUAUAUAUUUUAAGUAUAAACAUACACUUAUUUACAUGAAAUAUAAUAGAUUUAGUUAAAUCUGCCUAGUCUGCCUAGGUGCCCGCCUAGACCCCGCCUAGGCGCUAGGCCCCAACUUGCCGACCGACUAGCGUAACGUCUUUUAGAAACUUGAUCUUAAGGCACUGUGUUUUGUGUUUGAUAAGAAAGUGCAUUGACAGAAUACGAGCCAUUGCUUUUCACACUCAAAGUUAGGUGUUAAUAUCAUAAGUGACAAAAACAAAACCAUUGGACAACAACUCCUGCAUAUAAAUUACAUUUAUAGUGAUUUAAAUUGAAGACUCUGGCUUAUCACUUGCAGCCAUGUUUCCAAAUUAGCUGCAUUUCUUGUGUUUUAUUAAAUUUCAGGUAUGCUUUGGCUAGUCAGAUUCCACUUUGCCAUUUAAGAAAAUGUCAACGUCGAUACCAAAUAAAAUUUAGGCUAAUAUCCUCUUAUCAAAAUUAUGUAAUAAUGUUUUCUUAUCAAACUUAUGUAUUCAUAAAAUAUAUAUGUUUAAAUUGUAAAUCUCUGAACUACAUAUAUAAUAUAAAUUCAUUGUCCAACAAUAUAAAUAGGAAAAUGUUAUUCACAAACCUAUUUUUACUUCCCACACACUUUUAUUAACUUUUGGUCAUUGAUCUUUUUCAAUUCAUUUGAUCUAAUAGGCAAAAAUCAAGAAAGGUAUGUGAACAAUAAAAAUGAGUACUAUAUAAAUAUAAGCAUCUUACAAUGCGAGAUAACUAGCUCGGUGGAAAAGAUAUGAUAAUCGAAUAUCUAUUUUUCUGGAACAGUGCAAGUUUUAUGGUAGCCAUAAGAUUAUAAUUAGAGCAGAUAAAAUGACUUAUUUUUUCAUUUCACGUCAAAGUUUACAAAGCACAAUGCUUGAGAGCCAUUGGCUGACCCGUGGGUGUGAAAUUUUUCGUCUGGCCUCCAUGGAUUCUUUCAAGUCUCCUCUCUUCCUGUUUUCACCACUACUGACAGUUGAGUUUCAUACGAGCUAGCUGCAUCCCUAUCUAGUAUAGUGCACUAUAAUCUAUACCUAGUAGCACGUACUGUCUGAAUCUAAGAAUUCACUAAUCAAUAUAUUUGAAUAUUUUUGUUUAGUAAUGGUAGUUCCAAUUUUUAGACUAGAUUUGUAAAUCAUAUGUUGUGUUACCAAUAAUAAAUAACCAUGUUAAUCAAUAUUUAAGUGAUAAUCCAAUCAUCAACAAGUACGUCAUAUAGUUUACAAAUACAUAGUCUCCUUAACAUUACCUUUUUUUUUAGUUUGUGAUGAGUUUGAAACAUGAUGAGAUUAGUCAUUGAGAUCAUGACAUUGUUUUGGUAAGUAAAAGAUGGUAUGGUAGCCACUUCGAACCCUAACCUAAUAAAUCAAUCUUAUCGUCUUCAUUAAGUUGGAUUUACAAAUCUUAUCAUCUUUGUUAAAUUCGUUAAGUUGGAUAAACCAAAAAACAAAAAAAUUAACAAAAUAUAGAGCAUUGGCCAAUUCAUGUCAAAUUUAAGCACAUAAGUACACGUGGUCCUUGCCAUCAAAAGAGGCUCAUGAGCUUAUUGUUCAUAAUUCUAAGUAGAAAACAAGGCCUAAUCUAUACAUUCUGUCGAAUUUAGACAAUUUAAUCUAUUUUAACUUCGACAUUAGACCUUUUUCUCCAUAUAAGUGAAAAAUCAUGAGUCAUGAUAUUGAUAGGCAGAAUUGGACGUGCAUACAAUAUCCAUGAACUGUCGUGUAGGCGUUGAACGCCGCCACCAGCACCUGCAAUAUCCAUGAUUAAUUUAACAUGGUGAUGACUGACAUGAUCAUAGUUUUUGUUUUAUUGUGUCACAAGUGAUCCUAGUGGAAGACAAAGACCUAUCAAAGUCUAACCAGGGGAGGGAGGGUGGCGUAAGAGCAUUAUUAUUAGCCUUUCACGAGCAAUCAUUUCAGUUAGGUCAUCCCACAGAGCAGAGGAAAACAUGUUUGUGUUCCUCAAUAUUUUUACCUUUUAGGUUCUGUGCCACAGUUACCCAACUCAAGUGCCGAAAUUACCAAUAACUUUUAUUUAUUUGAAAAAUCGGCCGUUGUAGAAAGAACUCGAAGACGUGGCUGAAAUAGGAAAACUUCAGCUCGAUCCGUUCUAAUUAUCACUACUAUCGAUAUCAUUAGUCUAAAGCUUGUUACUUUGGAUUGGACUUGAGAGCAGUUCUUUUUGGUGCUGGGUUUUUGGAAAUUGGUUAGUUGGGUUUGGGGUGUGUACUUGGUUGACCAAGUGGAUGAAUUUGACGAAAAUCUUUUGAUAUUUGUCAUCUGGACGGUGGUAAAAAGAACUGCGAGGUACUUGAUAAAUUCAUAGACGUUGUAAAAUCUGCAAAUAGGAGGAGCUAUUAUUUAACAACCGAUGCGUUGGAAAUUGACCACGACUUAUCGACUAUCAUAAUAAUUAAAUCCUAACAAUUAUUUUUCAUCAUUACUAAUAAUAUUCUGAACAUAUAAACAACAUGUCCAACACAUACCAACAAUAUCAACAAUAUAAUCAAGGAAAAAUUAGUAUCCGGUCCUUAGUUCUUACUGUUCAUUGACUAAGACCUUAUUAGUUCUCAAAUUUUGAUUCAAGUCCCUAUCAUUAAUGUG